RNAcentral lists this ribosomal RNA (93 nucleotides) under uncultured bacterium. RNAcentral describes it as "partial 16S ribosomal RNA". It matches the Rfam family "Bacterial small subunit ribosomal RNA", at positions 1390 to 1482 of the family's 1533-position model. The record is from RNAcentral.
CCGCCCGUCACGCCAUGGGAGUUGGUGUUGCUUGAAAAGAUUGAGCUAACCGCAAGGAGGCAGAUCUUAAUGGCGAUACCGAUGACUGGGGUG